RNAcentral lists this ribosomal RNA (301 nucleotides) under uncultured bacterium. RNAcentral describes it as "partial 16S ribosomal RNA". It matches the Rfam family "Bacterial small subunit ribosomal RNA", at positions 509 to 807 of the family's 1533-position model. The record is from RNAcentral.
CAGUCGCCGCGGUAAUACGUAGGUGGCAAGCGUUGUCCGGAAUUAUUGGGCGUAAAGGGCUCGCAGGCGGUUUCUUAAGUCCGAUGUGAAAGCCCCCGGCUCAACCGGGGAGGGUCAUUGGAAACUGGGAAACCUGAGUGCAGAAGAGGAGAGUGGAAUUCCACGUGUAGCGGUGAAAUGCGUAGAGAUGUGGAGGAACACCAGUGGCGAAGGCGACUCUCUGGUCUGUAACUGACGCUGAGGAGCGAAAGCGUGGGGAGCGAACAGGAUUAGAGACCCCAGUAGUCCCUGUCUCUUAUAC